RNAcentral lists this unclassified non-coding RNA (367 nucleotides) under soil metagenome. RNAcentral describes it as "partial contains 5.8S ribosomal RNA, internal transcribed spacer 2, and large subunit ribosomal RNA". The stretch from base 1 to 120 matches the Rfam family "5.8S ribosomal RNA", at positions 35 to 154 of the family's 154-position model. The record is from RNAcentral.
GAUGAAGAACGCAGCGAAAUGCGAUACGUAAUGUGAAUUGCAGAAUUCAGUGAAUCAUCGAGUCUUUGAACGCACAUUGCGCCCUCUGGUAUUCCGGGGGGCAUGCCUGUCCGAGCGUCAUUGCAAACCCUCAAGCCCGGCUUGCGUGAUGGGUCGCAUCGUCCCCGAAGGCCCUCCGGGGCGGGUGGGACGGGCCCGAAAGGCAGCGGCGGCGUCGCGGUCAUCCGAUCAGCCCAAGCGUAUGGGGACAUCCGUCACACGCUAGGGGCGCGGACCGACGCCCGCCUGGAACGUCACACUUCUCAAGGUUUGACCUCGGAUCAGGUAGGGAUACCCGCUGAACUUAAGCAUAUCAAUAAGCGGAGGA